CGGGGUGCAGCAGGCGCGAAAACUUUACACUGCUGGCAACAGCGAUAAGGGGACCUCGAGUGCCAGGAUACAAUCUUGGCUGUCGCGAUGCCUAAAAAGCAUUGCAUAGCAAGGGCCGGGCAAGACCGGUGCCAGCCGCCGCGGUAACACCGGCGGCUCGAGUGGUAACCGCUAUUAUUGGGUCUAAAGGGUCUGUAGCCGGCCGGAUAAGUCUUUUGGGAAAUCCAGCUGCUCAACAGUUGGGCUUUCAGAAGAUACUGUUCGGCUCGAGACCGGGAGAGGUGAGAGGUACUUCAGGGGUAGGGGUGAAAUCUUGUAAUCCUUGAAGGACCACCAGUGGCGAAGGCGUCUCACCAGAACGGAUCUGACGGCAAGGGACGAAAGCUAGGGGCACGAACCGGAUUAGAUACCCGGGUAGUCCUAGCCGUAAACGAUACUCGCUAGGUGUCAGCCACGGUGCGACCGUGGUUGGUGCCGUAGGGAAGCCGUGAAGCGAGCCACCUGGGAAGUACGGCCGCAAGGCUGAAACUUAAAGGAAUUGGCGGGGGAGCAC
Molecule: ribosomal RNA, 553 nt
Filed under: uncultured archaeon
Lineage: Archaea
Description: bacterial SSU rRNA
Rfam family: Archaeal small subunit ribosomal RNA
Source: RNAcentral